Molecule: ribosomal RNA, 180 nt
Filed under: uncultured bacterium
Lineage: Bacteria
Description: partial 16S ribosomal RNA
Rfam family: Bacterial small subunit ribosomal RNA
Source: RNAcentral
CCUACGGGAGGCAGCAGUAGGGAAUCUUCCGCAAUGGGCGAAAGCCUGACGGAGCAACGCCGCGUGAGUGAUGAAGGUCUUCGGAUCGUAAAACUCUGUUAUUAGGGAAGAACAUACGUGUAAGUAACUGUGCACGUCUUGACGGUACCUAAUCAGAAAGCCACGGCUAACUACGUGCCC